Molecule: long non-coding RNA, 1993 nt
Organism: Cyprinus carpio (common carp)
Lineage: Eukaryota; Metazoa; Chordata; Actinopteri; Cypriniformes; Cyprinidae
Exons: 2
Source: RefSeq, a predicted model, not a curated record
AAUCGCCAAUCCAUAGUGCAUGUGGAGAGGAUGAUUGAUUUCUGUACGAUAAACAAACUUGACCCUUUGGCCCUAAGCAUUUUCUAUAAUAGCUUCAUUUCAUUGCAUGUAUGAAUUACAUGGCUUGUGGAAAAGAAAAAGGAAAAUCUAAACAAUCAAUAGGGGGAUGUCAAUAAAACAGCCACAGUUCAGUUCAACAGAGCUUGUGUUACUCUCAUCGCCAUCCAUAUGGGCUUGAAUCAACUUCUGUGACCAUAGACUAAUAGUAUAUUUCUGUCCCUUCCUCUCCCUCUAUCUUUACUUCUCUGUGACGGAGUGAUGAAAUUCUCCUAAUUAACUGGCUGGCUGUAGCUAUGCUGACCAGAGAGGCCAUCCUGGGGCUAGAGUACACACAUAACUCCCAAACCCUCAGUCCGCUCCACCUGGCCCACAGCCCAUGACGGAGGGGUGAACUGGGAAACCCGACCCUAAUCACUCUCAACUUUCCAUUUCUGUCGAAGUGGCCCAGACAUUGGAGCUCAUGCUCUAUUCUGAGCCUAAGAAGUAAGCCAGCAAACCAUGCAGGCAUCCCUUCAUUCGCCUUUUCCUUUCCCUAUUUUUUUUUUAAUCUCUCACCCAGCCCAUUUUCUGUCUGCUUUUUUGUUGACGAUGGGCUUUUUUGGCACAGCCCAAAGUUUUUCUCAGUCAUAUCCCUUUUCUAUGCCUUCCCUCUCUCUCACUUGGACUUGAUCUUUAUUUUGCUCUCAAGGGAGCAGUUAAGUACCUUCAGGCCUCUCAGAGACUCCUGGCCACGAUUGGCAUGCAAGUUCCCCAGCUCAACACCCCAUAUUCAAGUAAGCUCCAUAAACCUUGCAUGCGCACACACACACACAGGCUGCCACAGCAAGCUAUCUUAGUCAUCCUCACAGGUGGCUGUCCAAAUUUAAAACCACAGGCAGGCUGUGUGUGUUAUCCUGGGAAAUUUGUGGGAGCUUGUUUAACACACAAAGCUCACAGACUGAUGGACAGAUGAGAUCUGGGAAGUGAAUGUUGUCAAUGGAAGGCCCCCAACUUUCUCUUUCACUUUCUGUUUAUCCAAUCCUUUUUUUUUUUUUUUUUUGGUUUCUUUUGCUUUUGAUUUUUACUCUUUUGAGCAGUUUUGUAAAUAUUUCAUUCAGUGCAGUCAUUCUCAACCCAGAUUUUACAUGGGACAUCAAAUGGCAACUCAACACAGUAUCAUAAUUAUUGUAUUCAAUUAAACAAAUAUAUUUCUUAAAAUGCCCCAUCUAUCUUUUUCCUGAGUAACUCACAAGCGCCACCAUGAUGAAUUAUAACUUCCGUUUGGAUUCUCUCAUGCCACAGUAACAGCAAUAAACUUUUAUAAAAUUCCUGUAAAGUACUUACUGCACCAGCCAAUCUUUCCGUCUCCGACAGUGUUUGCAUUGCAUUCUGUGUCAAAUACUGACAAGAGAAAACAAGCAUGGCUUGCAGCACCUAACUUAAAAUACUGUGUGUAAAAUAAUAAAAUAAUCCAUGCUCAUCAUUUUGUAGACAAAAUGAUUUUCUGAUACAUGCUGUAUACGGUAGACCAAUCACAACAGACUCGGCCAUCUGACCAAUCAGAGCAGAGUUGGCUCACGGAAAGGAGGGGUUUACAGAGACUGAAUCUUAGAAUUGCUUCAAACAAAUCGCUUGAGAAUCGUUGAAAAAUGAGACUCCCAAAACAAUAUUAGGAACCUUAAAAAUGGCAUUAUAGGGGCACUUUAAAAUCAAACAUUGUAAUUUAUCACCUUAUAAGUUAUAAGCUCAAUAACAUGCAAAUGUAUUAACAGUUCACAAAGAUUGUCUGUGCCGAUUGCCUUGUGGGCAGUGCGCCAACGUACAGCGGCAUUGCACUACGGGCAUCCCGAGUUCGAAUCCCAGCUUGAGGACCUUUCCUGAUCCUGCCCCCUUUUCUCUCCCAAUUAGCUUCCUGUCAACUCUAAACUAUCCUAUCACAAUAAAAUGCCAAAAA